UUUAUGGAGAGUUUGAUCCUGGCUCAGGAUGAACGCUGGCGGCGUGCCUAAUACAUGCAAGUCGAGCGAACGGACGAGAAGCUUGCUUCUCUGAUGUUAGCGGCGGACGGGUGAGUAACACGUGGAUAACCUACCUAUAAGACUGGGAUAACUUCGGGAAACCGGAGCUAAUACCGGAUAAUAUUUUGAACCGCAUGGUUCAAAAGUGAAAGACGGUCUUGCUGUCACUUAUAGAUGGAUCCGCGCUGCAUUAGCUAGUUGGUAAGGUAACGGCUUACCAAGGCAACGAUGCAUAGCCGACCUGAGAGGGUGAUCGGCCACACUGGAACUGAGACACGGUCCAGACUCCUACGGGAGGCAGCAGUAGGGAAUCUUCCGCAAUGGGCGAAAGCCUGACGGAGCAACGCCGCGUGAGUGAUGAAGGUCUUCGGAUCGUAAAACUCUGUUAUUAGGGAAGAACAUAUGUGUAAGUAACUGUGCACAUCUUGACGGUACCUAAUCAGAAAGCCACGGCUAACUACGUGCCAGCAGCCGCGGUAAUACGUAGGUGGCAAGCGUUAUCCGGAAUUAUUGGGCGUAAAGCGCGCGUAGGCGGUUUUUUAAGUCUGAUGUGAAAGCCCACGGCUCAACCGUGGAGGGUCAUUGGAAACUGGAAAACUUGAGUGCAGAAGAGGAAAGUGGAAUUCCAUGUGUAGCGGUGAAAUGCGCAGAGAUAUGGAGGAACACCAGUGGCGAAGGCGACUUUCUGGUCUGUAACUGACGCUGAUGUGCGAAAGCGUGGGGAUCAAACAGGAUUAGAUACCCUGGUAGUCCACGCCGUAAACGAUGAGUGCUAAGUGUUAGGGGGUUUCCGCCCCUUAGUGCUGCAGCUAACGCAUUAAGCACUCCGCCUGGGGAGUACGACCGCAAGGUUGAAACUCAAAGGAAUUGACGGGGACCCGCACAAGCGGUGGAGCAUGUGGUUUAAUUCGAAGCAACGCGAAGAACCUUACCAAAUCUUGACAUCCUUUGACAACUCUAGAGAUAGAGCUUUCCCCUUCGGGGGACAAAGUGACAGGUGGUGCAUGGUUGUCGUCAGCUCGUGUCGUGAGAUGUUGGGUUAAGUCCCGCAACGAGCGCAACCCUUAAGCUUAGUUGCCAUCAUUAAGUUGGGCACUCUAAGUUGACUGCCGGUGACAAACCGGAGGAAGGUGGGGAUGACGUCAAAUC
This 1209-nucleotide ribosomal RNA is filed under the name Staphylococcus aureus. RNAcentral describes it as "bacterial SSU rRNA". It matches the Rfam family "Bacterial small subunit ribosomal RNA", at positions 1 to 1191 of the family's 1533-position model. Lineage: Bacteria; Bacillati; Bacillota; Bacilli; Caryophanales; Staphylococcaceae. The record is from RNAcentral.